CUUGCAUUGAACAAAGAAGCUCUCUUUUAGGAGAGGCUUUAGCCAUGGCGGCCACCUGUUGUCGUCAUCAUCAGGUCCUCCAGCACCCAUGAUCCUCCUGUUUCUAGGCUUGAUAGCAGUUUCCUGAUUUUCGAUCGCCAGCUUGAAUGAGCUUAUAAGAAACAGAGCAAUCUGCUUCUAUUGAGUUAGGGUGUGUGUUCUAAGUCUAGU
RNAcentral lists this unclassified non-coding RNA (210 nucleotides) under Hevea brasiliensis (rubber tree). The record is from RNAcentral. Lineage: Eukaryota; Viridiplantae; Streptophyta; Magnoliopsida; Malpighiales; Euphorbiaceae.